GACGAACGCUGGCGGCGUGCUUAACACAUGCAAGUCGAACGGAAAGGCCCUUCGGGGUACUCGAGUGGCGAACGGGUGAGUAACACGUGGGUGAUCUGCCCUGCACUUUGGGAUAAGCCUGGGAAACUGGGUCUAAUACCGAAUAGGACCGCGCGCUUCAUGGUGUGUGGUGGAAAGCUUUUGCGGUGUGGGAUGGGCCCGCGGCCUAUCAGCUUGUUGGUGGGGUAAUGGCCUACCAAGGCGACGACGGGUAGCCGGCCUGAGAGGGUGACCGGCCACACUGGGACUGAGAUACGGCCCAGACUCCUACGGGAGGCAGCAGUGUGGAAUAUUGCACAAUGGGCGCAAGCCUGAUGCAGCGACGCCGCGUGAGGGAUGACGGCCUUCGGGUUGUAAACCUCUUUCACCAGGGACGAAGCGCAAGUGACGGUACCUGGAGAAGAAGCACCGGCCAACUACGUG
Molecule: ribosomal RNA, 462 nt
Filed under: uncultured bacterium
Lineage: Bacteria
Description: partial 16S ribosomal RNA
Rfam family: Bacterial small subunit ribosomal RNA
Source: RNAcentral